UGGGGAAUUUUGGACAAUGGGCGAAAGCCUGAUCCAGCAAUGCCGCGUGUGUGAAGAAGGCCUUCGGGUUGUAAAGCACUUUUGUCCGGAAAGAAAUCCUUGGCUCUAAUACAGUCGGGGGAUGACGGUACCGGAAGAAUAAGCACCGGCUAACUACGUGCCAGCAGCCGCGGUAAUACGUAGGGUGCAAGCGUUAAUCGGAAUUACUGGGCGUAAAGCGUGCGCAGGCGGUUUGCUAAGACCGAUGUGAAAUCCCCGGGCUCAACCUGGGAACUGCAUUGGUGACUGGCAGGCUAGAGUAUGGCAGGAGGGGGGUAGAAUUCCACGUGUAGCAGUGAAAUGCGUAGAGAUGUGGAGGAAUACCGAUGGCGAAGGCAGCCCCCUGGGCCAAUACUGACGCUCAUGCACGAAAGCGUGGGGAGCAAACAGGAUUCAGAUACCCUGGUAGUCCACGCCCUAAACGAUGUCAACUAGUUGUUGGGGAUUCAUUUCCUUAGUAACGUAGCUAACGCGUGAAGUUGACCGCCUGGGGAGUACGGUCGCAAGAUUAAAACUCAAAGGAAUUGACGGGGUCAUAGCUGUUUCCU
This 587-nucleotide ribosomal RNA is filed under the name uncultured bacterium. RNAcentral describes it as "partial 16S ribosomal RNA". It matches the Rfam family "Bacterial small subunit ribosomal RNA", at positions 355 to 1375 of the family's 1533-position model. The record is from RNAcentral.